AGCGAACGCUGGCGGCAGGCUUAACACAUGCAAGUCGAGCGGGCAUCCUUGUGGUGUCAGCGGCAGACGGGUGAGUAACGCGUGGGAACGUGCCCUUCGGUUCGGAAUAACUCAGGGAAACUUGAGCUAAUACCGGAUACGUGCGAGAGCAGAAAGGUUUAUCUGCCGAAGGAUCGGCCCGCGUCUGAUUAGCUAGUUGGUGAGGUUAUGGCUCACCAAGGCGACGAUCAGUAGCUGGUCUGAGAGGAUGAUCAGCCACACUGGGACUGAGACACGGCCCAGACUCCUACGGGAGGCAGCAGUGGGGAAUAUUGGACAAUGGGGGCAACCCUGAUCCAGCCAUGCCGGGUGAGUGAUGACGGCCUUAGGGUUGUAAAGCUCUUUUCUCCGGGACGAUAAUGACGGUACCGGAGGAAUAAGCCCCGGCUAACUUCGUG
This 437-nucleotide ribosomal RNA is filed under the name uncultured bacterium. RNAcentral's name for it is "partial 16S ribosomal RNA". It matches the Rfam family "Bacterial small subunit ribosomal RNA", at positions 29 to 507 of the family's 1533-position model. The record is from RNAcentral.